AGUGUCUGGUGGGUAGUUUGACUGGGGCGGUCUCCUCCUAAAGAGUAACGGAGGAGCACGAAGGUUGGCUAAUCCUGGUCGGACAUCAGGAGGUUAGUGCAAUGGCAUAAGCCAGCUUGACUGCGAGCGUGACGGCGCGAGCAGGUGCGAAAGCAGGUCAUAGUGAUCCGGUGGUUCUGAAUGGAAGGGCCAUCGCUCAACGGAUAAAAGGUACUCCGGGGAUAACAGGCUGAUACCGCCCAAGAGUUCAUAUCGACGGCGGUGUUUGGCACCUCGAUGUCGGCUCAUCACAUCCUGGGGCUGAAGUAGGUCCCAAGGGUAUGGCUGUUCGCCAUUUAAAGUGGUACGCGAGCUGGGUUUAGAACGUCGUGAGACAGUUCGGUCCCUAUCUGCCGUGGGCGCUGGAGAAUUGAGGGGGGCUGCUCCUAGUACGAGAGGACCGGAGUGGACGCAUCACUGGUGUUCGGGUUGUCAUGCCAAUGGCACUGCCCGGUAGCUAAAUGCGGAAGAGAUAAGUGCUGAAAGCAUCUAAGCACGAAACUUGCCCCGAGAUGAGUUCUCCCUGACUCCUUGAGAGUCCUGAAGGAACGUUGAAGACGACGACGUUGAUAGGCCGGGUGUGUAAGCGCAGCGAUGCGUUGAGCUAACCGGUACUAAUGAACCGUGAGGCUUAACCUUACAACGCCGAAG
This 690-nucleotide ribosomal RNA is filed under the name Escherichia coli. RNAcentral's name for it is "partial 23S ribosomal RNA". It matches the Rfam family "Bacterial large subunit ribosomal RNA", at positions 2253 to 2925 of the family's 2925-position model. Lineage: Bacteria; Pseudomonadati; Pseudomonadota; Gammaproteobacteria; Enterobacterales; Enterobacteriaceae. The record is from RNAcentral.